RNAcentral lists this transfer RNA (72 nucleotides) under Hydnomerulius pinastri MD-312. Its description in RNAcentral is "tRNA-Gln (TTG) (tRNA-Gln-TTG-1-1)". It matches the Rfam family "tRNA". From Rfam's summary of the family: Transfer RNA (tRNA) molecules are approximately 80 nucleotides in length. Their secondary structure includes four short double-helical elements and three loops (D, anti-codon, and T loops). Lineage: Eukaryota; Fungi; Basidiomycota; Agaricomycetes; Boletales. The record is from RNAcentral.
GGUCUUGUAGUGUAGUGGUUAUCACUCAGGAUUUUGAUUCCUGAAACCCAGGUUCGAACCCUGGCAAGACCU